GCCAGUUCCGGGGAGGGCCCUGGGCCAGCGGCUGUCCGUCCCCCCUCCUUCAUAAAGUCCUGGCCUCGGGACAGCCCGCACAGCUGCCCAGCCUGUGGAGACGGGACAGCUCCUGUCCCACUCACUCUUUCCCCUGCCGCUCCUGCCGGCAGCUCGAACCAUGGGAGGCCUCGUCUUUCUCGCAUUCUGUGUCUGGCUGACGCUGUCGAGAGCUGAAACCCAGGACUCCAGGGGCUGUGCCCGGUGGUGCCCUCAGAACUCCUCGUGUGUCAAUGCCACCGCCUGUCGCUGCAAUCCAGGGUUCAGCUCUUUUUCUGAGAUCAUCACCACCCCCACGGAGACUUGUGACGACAUCAACGAGUGUGCAACACCGUCGAAAGUGUCAUGCGGAAAAUUCUCGGACUGCUGGAACACAGAGGGGAGCUACUACUGCAUGUGCAGCCCGGGAUAUGAGCUUGUUUCUGGGGCAAAAACAUUCACGAAUGAGAGCGAGAACACGUGUCAAGAUGUGGACGAAUGUCAGCGGAACCCAAAGCUCUGUAAAAGCUACGGCACCUGUGUCAACACUCUCGGCAGCUACAUGUGCCAGUGCCUGCCUGGCUUCAAGUUCCAACCUGAGGACCCGAAGCUCUGCACAGAUGUGAAUGAAUGCACCUCCGGACAAAACCCGUGCCACAGCACCACCCACUGCCUCAACAACGUGGGCAGCUAUCAGUGCCGCUGCCGUCCGGGCUGGCAACCGAUUCCGGGGUCCCCCAAUGGCCCAAACAAUACCGUCUGCGAAGGUCGAGAGCUCAGAUCCCACGUUCCCAGAGACCCACAAACAUCUGAUCACAUGUUCAACCGCGCCCACACAAACCAAGCAGAAUGAGCGCUGGAGGCGCCCGGCUGUGCCAGGCGUUCAUUCUUCUGAGGCUAGAUGAGAAAA
This 928-nucleotide small RNA is filed under the name Pongo abelii (Sumatran orangutan). RNAcentral describes it as "retained intron". Lineage: Eukaryota; Metazoa; Chordata; Mammalia; Primates; Hominidae. The record is from RNAcentral.